GGCGGCGAAGCUCGCUGAGUUCUGCGCCGCAACCUCACCGUCUGCUCCACUGCGACCUCGCCCUGUUACUACGUACAACAGACUGCCCGCCCCAUCCACGCGCCACCAUUCUCCACCUCGGCGCCAUCCCGUCACCACACCCGGCGCCUACCUCCGCUACCGGCCGACGCCUACGGCCUACCUUCGCCAUCAGCCGACGGCUAGAUCCGCCAUCUGCUGACGCUGGAGAAGACGACUCUAGCCUUCAGGUAUCCCUUUGGAUGUUAAAACCUUGUAUUUUUGUUGUUUAUUUUGGUUCUAUCUGUCACCCCAUUUAUGCUGAUUGUGUUAGAUGUAACUAAUCCUAGCUGAGAUUAACUGCGGUGAUGUCUCUCUGUAUUUUUCUUAGACUACAUAUUCGAGAAAUCACUGAAACCACUUGCUAUAUUUUGCUUAGACCAAAUAUUCGAGAAAUUACUUACAAAAAAUGUCAGUAACUUAUGGCAAGAGAUGAGUUCGAAAUAAUUUUAACCGAUUCAAAGUAAAAUGUCAGCAACUUAGAACAAGUAGUUUUGGUGUGAUGUGGAUGAAGCAUCUAGCACUUGUACAAUUAAUGGAGGAUAAUAAUAGCAAGUCCAUGCCCAUCUAGUCAGAUCAGAGUGACACUGUUGAAUUAAGAGAUCAUUUUCCUUGCGCUACUGCCUACUAUACAUGAACAAAACCAAGAUAACAAAAAGUGUCUCGCAGAUUGUUGCUCGCCCACAGAUAUGCAGAAGAACAAUCCACACAAUUGAUAAAUAUGUGCACAAAUAUGAAAUGUUCCCUAACUUAAGUACCUUUCAGAUCCAAUGUGUAUGGUACGCAUGUGCUCCGGGCCACCUUCAGGGUUGCUGUUUUUGCAACAGUAAAACUGUGGCAGCAUAUCAACGGCGACAUUUAUCUUUGUUGUUGCCUGUUCUCCAGAGAACAUAGGAAGCAAUCUAUAUUACAAGUUGGUUACUGGAAUUCAAUGUGGAACAUAAAUAGCUUUGCACGUAAGAAUUUUUCAGAUGCUGUUUAGCAUUGCUAUGAAUAAUCUGUUUCCCAAAAUCAUGAGUUCUUAUUACUAGAUAAAAUUUGGCAUUCAUGCUCAUGUACACAAGAUAAUAAUGGAUAAAGUAUACUAAGUAAAUGGGCAAGGUUAUUGUUAUAUAUUCCAUAAACAAAUAUUUGUAAGAAUGUGCACCACCAAUGCAGUUCCUCUGUUUUGCUUGUAACUAAGUACUUACAGAGCUAUAACCCACUGUCUUCAUAGAACAGAGGAACACCUCCGGAAGAAUACUGGCAGGCAAAAGGUUAUCAUUAUAUAUUGUAUAGAAAAUUGUAAUUAUGUGUAUGGGUGAAGACUGAAUAGUCAAAAAAUGAUAAGCUACUGAAGUUGUCGUCUUUUGCAUCUUUGGUGCAGGAUUUAUAAGUACAAAUCUCGGUUCAUGGACCUGCUAAUUCUUUAUUCUUAGAAUUAGCUUACCUUCUCAAAUCAACUUGCUGAAUGUUUAUGUUGUGCAUUUCCUAUGGAAUAUAUAUGUUUUUGAUCUUGGAAAAUCCAUGAUACUCGCUGUACCAUAGAGUUGUUGUCGUAUUUAUACGUGUUGGAUGAAUUCAUCAGCGUGAAGCAACAGGCUAUCAAGGUACAUGAUGUCCCUGAUCUUUCUGUUCCAAAACUGGAGUUUGCGAAAUAUUUGACUAGAACUUGUUUGAUAUUUUGCAGCACAACCCAUGGGAGCAGACAUCACUUCGCGAUUAAUUAAUGGAUGACAAAUGCCUUUGUUCAUGUGCUAUAUGAAACUGGUUACAUUGUUGUAGACUUUUGGUACAACUUGUACAACUAGUUGCCACUGUGUUGCAGCUAGCAUCCCAUGCCCUGUUUCUUUUUUCUGUAACAUGCCAAGAGUGAUGUUGGUUUCGUGAGCGUGACUAUACUGGCCUGGGAUACUGACGAAGUGCAACAAGGCAUUGGUUGCUUCCUGAAUAUUCUACUUUCUCAUCCUGUACAAUCGUUUAGUUUCUUUGGUUGUAGCCUGGUUUUCUAUUUUGCUUGUUGUAACUGGCCCAGUUUGAAUAUUCCAUGACACUAUGUGUACUAUAUUUUCUGUGUUGGAUGAAGCUGGAAUCAUUAACACAAAGUGAACACAUGCUGAUGGCACCCGACGGACAGAAAGUACGCCCUCAGUUCAACCUUGCAAGUUGAUACUCCCAGAAUACCA
RNAcentral lists this long non-coding RNA (2222 nucleotides) under Triticum aestivum (bread wheat). RNAcentral describes it as "long non-coding RNA (TAES_LNC019538)". Lineage: Eukaryota; Viridiplantae; Streptophyta; Magnoliopsida; Poales; Poaceae. The record is from RNAcentral.